UAAGGGUGAGGAUUUGGGGAACAU
Molecule: non-coding RNA, 24 nt
Filed under: Cricetulus griseus (Chinese hamster)
Lineage: Eukaryota; Metazoa; Chordata; Mammalia; Rodentia; Cricetidae
Source: RNAcentral